RNAcentral lists this ribosomal RNA (482 nucleotides) under Enterococcus faecalis. RNAcentral describes it as "bacterial SSU rRNA". It matches the Rfam family "Bacterial small subunit ribosomal RNA", at positions 56 to 510 of the family's 1533-position model. The record is from RNAcentral. Lineage: Bacteria; Bacillati; Bacillota; Bacilli; Lactobacillales; Enterococcaceae.
UGCAGUCGCACGCUUCUUUCCUCCCGAGUGCUUGCACUCAAUUGGAAAGAGGAGUGGCGGACGGGUGAGUAACACGUGGGUAACCUACCCAUCAGAGGGGGAUAACACUUGGAAACAGGUGCUAAUACCGCAUAACAGUUUAUGCCGCAUGGCAUAAGAGUGAAAGGCGCUUUCGGGUGUCGCUGAUGGAUGGACCCGCGGUGCAUUAGCUAGUUGGUGAGGUAACGGCUCACCAAGGCCACGAUGCAUAGCCGACCUGAGAGGGUGAUCGGCCACACUGGGACUGAGACACGGCCCAGACUCCUACGGGAGGCAGCAGUAGGGAAUCUUCGGCAAUGGACGAAAGUCUGACCGAGCAACGCCGCGUGAGUGAAGAAGGUUUUCGGAUCGUAAAACUCUGUUGUUAGAGAAGAACAAGGACGUUAGUAACUGAACGUCCCCUGACGGUAUCUAACCAGAAAGCCACGGCUAACUACGUGCCA